GUCACAGAUAGCCUACCUGGUAAAGUUUCGGGCGCGCGACCAGAUGAACCGGGUUCGAGUCCCGGUCUAGACU
This 73-nucleotide transfer RNA is filed under the name Cotesia glomerata. RNAcentral's name for it is "tRNA-Ala". The record is from RNAcentral. Lineage: Eukaryota; Metazoa; Arthropoda; Insecta; Hymenoptera; Braconidae.